This 657-nucleotide ribosomal RNA is filed under the name uncultured bacterium. RNAcentral describes it as "bacterial SSU rRNA". It matches the Rfam family "Bacterial small subunit ribosomal RNA", at positions 50 to 697 of the family's 1533-position model. The record is from RNAcentral.
AACACAUGCAAGUCGAGGGGCAGCAUCAUCAAAGCUUGCUUUGAUGGAUGGCGACCGGCGCACGGGUGAGUAACACGUAUCCAACCUGCCGACAACACUGGGAUAGCCUUUCGAAAGAAAGAUUAAUACCGGAUGGCAUAGUUUUCCCGCAUGGGAUAAUUAUUAAAGAAUUUCGGUUGUCGAUGGGGAUGCGUUCCAUUAGGCAGUUGGCGGGGUAACGGCCCACCAAACCAACGAUGGAUAGGGGUUCUGAGAGGAAGGUCCCCCACAUUGGAACUGAGACACGGUCCAAACUCCUACGGGAGGCAGCAGUGAGGAAUAUUGGUCAAUGGACGAGAGUCUGAACCAGCCAAGUAGCGUGAAGGAUGACUGCCCUAUGGGUUGUAAACUUCUUUUAUACGGGAAUAAAGUUAGCCACGUGUGGCUUUUUGUAUGUACCGUAUGAAUAAGGAUCGGCUAACUCCGUGCCAGCAGCCGCGGUAAUACGGAGGAUCCGAGCGUUAUCCGGAUUUAUUGGGUUUAAAGGGAGCGUAGGCGGGUUGUUAAGUCAGUUGUGAAAGUUUGCGGCUCAACCGUAAAAUUGCAGUUGAUACUGGCGACCUUGAGUGCAACAGAGGUAGGCGGAAUUCGUGGUGUAGCGGUGAAAUGCUUAGAUAU